RNAcentral lists this ribosomal RNA (478 nucleotides) under uncultured bacterium. RNAcentral describes it as "bacterial SSU rRNA". It matches the Rfam family "Bacterial small subunit ribosomal RNA", at positions 328 to 793 of the family's 1533-position model. The record is from RNAcentral.
GCAGAGCACUCCGUACGGGAGGCAGCAGGUGGGAAUAUUGCACAAUGGGCGCAAGCCUGAUGCAGCCAUGCCGCGUGUAUAGAAGAAGGCCGUUUCGGGUUGUAAAGUACUUUCAGCAGUGAGGAAGGUGGGUAUGUUAAUAGCAUACUCAUUUGACGUUUAGCUGCAGAAGAAGCACCGGCUAACUCCGUGCCAGCAGCCGCGGUAAUACGGAGGGUGCGAGCGUUAAUCGGAAUUACUGGGCGUAAAGCGCAUGCAGGUGGUUUGUUAAGUCAGAUGUGAAAGCCCGGGGCUCAACCUCGGAAUUGCAUUUGAAACUGGCAAACUAGAGUACUGUAGAGGGGGUAGAAUUUCAGGUGUAGCGGUGAAAAUGCGUAGAGAUCUGAAGGAAUACCGGUGGCGAAGGCGGCCCCCUGGACAGAUACUGACACUCAGAUGCGAAAGCGUGGGGAGCAAACAGGAUUAGAAACCCUGGUAG